This 1081-nucleotide ribosomal RNA is filed under the name Clostridium botulinum. RNAcentral describes it as "bacterial SSU rRNA". It matches the Rfam family "Bacterial small subunit ribosomal RNA", at positions 86 to 1188 of the family's 1533-position model. The record is from RNAcentral. Lineage: Bacteria; Bacillati; Bacillota; Clostridia; Eubacteriales; Clostridiaceae.
AGUGGAUUAGCGGCGGACGGGUGAGUAACACGUGGGUAACCUGCCUCAAAGUGGGGGAUAGCCUUCCGAAAGGGAGAUUAAUACCGCAUAAUAUAAGAGAAUCGCAUGAUUUUCUUAUCAAAGAUUUAUUGCUUUGAGAUGGACCCGCGGCGCAUUAGCUAGUUGGUAAGGUAACGGCUUACCAAGGCAACGAUGCGUAGCCGACCUGAGAGGGUGAUCGGCCACAUUGGAACUGAGACACGGUCCAGACUCCUACGGGAGGCAGCAGUGGGGAAUAUUGCGCAAUGGGGGAAACCCUGACGCAGCAACGCCGCGUGGGUGAUGAAGGUCUUCGGAUUGUAAAGCCCUGUUUUCUGGGACGAUAAUGACGGUACCAGAGGAGGAAGCCACGGCUAACUACGUGCCAGCAGCCGCGGUAAUACGUAGGUGGCGAGCGUUGUCCGGAUUUACUGGGCGUAAAGGGUGCGUAGGCGGAUGUUUAAGUGGGAUGUGAAAUCCCCGGGCUUAACCUGGGGGCUGCAUUCCAAACUGGAUAUCUAGAGUGCAGGAGAGGAAAGCGGAAUUCCUAGUGUAGCGGUGAAAUGCGUAGAGAUUAGGAAGAACACCAGUGGCGAAGGCGGCUUUCUGGACUGUAACUGACGCUGAGGCACGAAAGCGUGGGUAGCAAACAGGAUUAGAUACCCUGGUAGUCCACGCCGUAAACGAUGGAUACUAGGUGUAGGGGGUAUCAACUCCCCCUGUGCCGCAGUUAACACAAUAAGUAUCCCGCCUGGGGAGUACGGUCGCAAGAUUAAAACUCAAAGGAAUUGACGGGGGCCCGCACAAGCAGCGGAGCAUGUGGUUUAAUUCGAAGCAACGCGAAGAACCUUACCUGGACUUGACAUCCCUUGCAUAGCCUAGAGAUAGGUGAAGCCCUUCGGGGCAAGGAGACAGGUGGUGCAUGGUUGUCGUCAGCUCGUGUCGUGAGAUGUUAGGUUAAGUCCUGCAACGAGCGCAACCCUUGUUAUUAGUUGCUACCAUUAAGUUGAGCACUCUAAUGAGACUGCCUGGGUAACCAGGAGGAAGGUGGGGAUGACGUCAA